AGAAUGACUCUCGGCAA
This 17-nucleotide ribosomal RNA is filed under the name Medicago sativa subsp. falcata (sickle medic). Its description in RNAcentral is "Medicago falcata (sickle medic) partial 5.8S ribosomal RNA". Lineage: Eukaryota; Viridiplantae; Streptophyta; Magnoliopsida; Fabales; Fabaceae. The record is from RNAcentral. RNAcentral also lists the same sequence under 15 other names.